CUGGUAGUAGUAUAAAUUAUAAAAUAAAAAUUACGAUAGUCUAUUGUAAAAAUUAUUAUUGAGAACUUAUAGUCCAGCGUUACAAUACUAUAUAAUGAAAAUUACGAUAGUUAAAUCGUAAAAAAUCCGUGAAUUUUUUUUCCGUGUAGAGUCAAGAAAUUAAAACACACAAAAUUUUUUAUAAUGAAUCGUUAAUAUGUCAAUUUAAUAAAUAAAAUAGCAUUAUUUAAUUAUAAUCAAUGUGAAAUCCUUCAUUUACUUUACCUAUCAUUCUAUUAACGUAAGAUAAGAGUAAAUGAAGUAGAUAUAAAAAUAUUUUUUAAUUAUAAGAAAAAACAAACUAAGUAAUUAAAAAAGUAAAAUUUAUAAAAAGGCAUGUACUGAUUUUUGAAUUUUCUAAAAGUGGAUUUUUUCAUUUUCAUUACGUAAAAAAUUUAUUUUAGUAUUUCAAAGUUUUAAAAAUUGUCAGCUGUCUGCUAAGUUUAUGGCUUUAACGUAAGGAACGAUAGGUAGUGGAAAGACCAGUUUGUUGUUCGGGGAUGAUGAUGGUGACGCCGUAGGGAUCGUUCAAGAGUUCGUUGAAAACGCUGAUGGCGACGAUGUUGAAUUCAAAGCGGAAAAAUUGUCGGAGAACCAGUUCCAGGAUAUGGUCAAGACUACCAACGUCAACCAGACUAAAAGUGUUUUUACAUCAAGUCCAUAUGUAAUUUUACUUGUGGGAGAAAAAAAAAUUUUAAUAAAAUUUUUAAUGUCCGCUAGA
This is a long non-coding RNA of Microplitis mediator, 760 nucleotides long. RefSeq lists it as uncharacterized. The record is from RefSeq and is a predicted model, not a curated record. The transcript has 3 exons. NCBI's taxonomy places the organism in Eukaryota, Metazoa, Arthropoda, Insecta, Hymenoptera, Braconidae.